Molecule: ribosomal RNA, 373 nt
Filed under: uncultured organism
Description: bacterial SSU rRNA
Rfam family: Bacterial small subunit ribosomal RNA
Source: RNAcentral
CGGAGGGUGCAAGCGUUGUUCGGAAUUAUUGGGCGUAAAGCGCGCGCAGGCGGCCGAAGAAGUCCAUGGGUGAAAGGCCGGGGCUCAACCCCGCGCAUGCCCAGGAUACUGAUCGGCUGGAGACACGUAGAGGCAAGCGGAAUUCCGGGUGUAGCGGUGGAAUGCGUAGAGAUCCGGAAGAACACCGGAGGCGAAGGCGGCUUGCUGGGCGUGAUCUGACGCUGAGGCGCGAAAGCGUGGGGAGCGAACAGGAUUAGAUACCCUGGUAGUCCACGCUGUAAACGAUGGGCACUGGAUGCGGGGGGGAUCGGCCCUCUCCGUGUCGCAGCUUACGCGUUAAGUGCCCCGCCUGGGGAGUACGGCCGCAAGGCUG